AUGUCGGUUAAAUCUUCGACAGUGCUAUCAAGUGGGUGGUGGGUGGGACAUAAAAUUCCCCGUUCUCAGCCCCUAGUGUGGGCUGGGCGUCGGAUCUGCCCAUUCCUCGAGAAGAAGAUGAACCGGGCCAACAAGGUCUCCUUCUCCAACCACAAGACCAAGAAGCAGCAGUUUGUCAACAUGCAGUUCAAGAAGCUGUGGUGGGAGGCCGUCAAGCACUACGUCAAGCUCAGGCUCUCCACCAAAGCCCUCAAGACCAUCGAGAAGCACGACCUCGAUGCCAUCGCCAACAAGGCCGUCGCCACAGACCUCAACAAGAAAUGA
This 324-nucleotide ribosomal RNA is filed under the name Triticum aestivum (bread wheat). RNAcentral's name for it is "partial small subunit ribosomal RNA". The record is from RNAcentral. Lineage: Eukaryota; Viridiplantae; Streptophyta; Magnoliopsida; Poales; Poaceae.